RNAcentral lists this ribosomal RNA (2262 nucleotides) under Enterococcus faecium. RNAcentral describes it as "bacterial LSU rRNA". It matches the Rfam family "Bacterial large subunit ribosomal RNA", at positions 1 to 2275 of the family's 2925-position model. The record is from RNAcentral. Lineage: Bacteria; Bacillati; Bacillota; Bacilli; Lactobacillales; Enterococcaceae.
UUAAGUGAAUAAGGGCGCACGGUGGAUGCCUUGGCACUAGGAGCCGAUGAAGGACGGGACUAACACCGAUAUGCUUUGGGGAGCUGUACGUAAGCUAUGAUCCAGAGAUUUCCGAAUGGGGGAACCCAACAUCUUUAAUAGGAUGUUACGAUUGUGUGAAUACAUAGCACAUUCGAGGUAGACGCAGAGAACUGAAACAUCUAAGUACCUGCAGGAAGAGAAAGAAAAUUCGAUUCCCUGAGUAGCGGCGAGCGAAACGGGAAAAGCCCAAACCAGCAAGCUUGCUUGUUGGGGUUGUAGGACUCCAAUAUGGUAGUUCUUUCAGAUAGUCGAAUGACUUGGAAAAGUCAGUCAAAGAGGGUAAAAACCCCGUAGACGAAAUGUGGAAGACACCUAGGAGGAUCCUGAGUACGGCGGAACACGAGAAAUUCCGUCGGAAUCCGGGAGGACCAUCUCCCAAGGCUAAAUACUCCCUAGUGACCGAUAGUGAACCAGUACCGUGAGGGAAAGGUGAAAAGCACCCCGGAAGGGGAGUGAAAUAGAACCUGAAACCGUGUGCCUACAACAAGUCAAAGCCCGUUAAUGGGUGAUGGCGUGCCUUUUGUAGAAUGAACCGGCGAGUUACGAUUGCAUGCGAGGUUAAGUUGAAGAGACGGAGCCGCAGCGAAAGCGAGUCUGAAUAGGGCGUUUGAGUAUGUAGUCGUAGACCCGAAACCAUGUGAUCUACCCAUGUCCAGGUUGAAGGUGCGGUAAAACGCACUGGAGGACCGAACCCACGUACGUUGAAAAGUGCGGGGAUGAGGUGUGGGUAGCGGAGAAAUUCCAAACGAACUUGGAGAUAGCUGGUUCUCUCCGAAAUAGCUUUAGGGCUAGCCUCGGAAUUGAGAAUGAUGGAGGUAGAGCACUGUUUGGACUAGGGGCCCAUCUCGGGUUACCGAAUUCAGAUAAACUCCGAAUGCCAUUCAUUCAUAUCCGGGAGUCAGACUGUGAGUGAUAAGAUCCAUAGUCGAAAGGGAAACAGCCCAGACCACCAGCUAAGGUCCCAAAAUAUAUGUUAAGUGGAAAAGGAUGUGGGGUUGCACAGACAACUAGGAUGUUGGCUUAGAAGCAGCCAUCAUUUAAAGAGUGCGUAAUAGCUCACUAGUCGAGUGACCCUGCGCCGAAAAUGUACCGGGGCUAAACAUAUUACCGAAGCUGUGGAGUACACCUUUAGGUGUAUUGGUAGGAGAGCGUUCUAAGGGCGUUGAAGGCAGAUCGUGAGGACUGCUGGAGCGCUUAGAAGUGAGAAUGCCGGUAUGAGUAGCGAAAGACAGGUGAGAAUCCUGUCCACCGAAUGACUAAGGUUUCCUGGGGAAGGCUCGUCCGCCCAGGGUUAGUCGGGACCUAAGCCGAGGCCGACAGGCGUAGGCGAUGGAUAACAGGUUGAUAUUCCUGUACCCGUUGUUUUUGUUUGAGCAAUGGAGGGACGCAGGAGGCUAAGGAAUGCAGACGAUCGGAAAUGUCUGUCCAAGCAGUAAGUCUGAAGAGGAGUCAAAUGCUUCUUUUCUUAAGGACAAGCUGUGAUGGGGAGGGAAAUAAUAGUACCGAAGUUCCUGAUGUCACACUGCCGAGAAAAGCUUCUAGUGAGAAAACAGCGGCCCGUACCGCAAACCGACACAGGUAGUCGAGGAGAGAAUCCUAAGGUGAGCGAGAGAACUCUCGUUAAGGAACUCGGCAAAAUGACCCCGUAACUUCGGGAGAAGGGGUGCUGAUCAUACGAUCAGCCGCAGUGAAUAGGCCCAAGCGACUGUUUAUCAAAAACACAGGUCUCUGCAAAAUCGUAAGAUGAAGUAUAGGGGCUGACGCCUGCCCGGUGCUGGAAGGUUAAGAGGAGUGCUUAGCGCAAGCGAAGGUACGAAUUGAAGCCCCAGUAAACGGCGGCCGUAACUAUAACGGUCCUAAGGUAGCGAAAUUCCUUGUCGGGUAAGUUCCGACCCGCACGAAAGGCGUAACGAUUUGGGCACUGUCUCAACGAGAGACUCGGUGAAAUUUUAGUACCUGUGAAGAUGCAGGUUACCCGCGACAGGACGGAAAGACCCCAUGGAGCUUUACUGUAGUUUGAUAUUGAGUGUCUGUACCGCAUGUACAGGAUAGGUAGGAGUCGUAGAAAUCGGAACGCUAGUUUCGAUGGAGGCGCUGGUGGGAUACUACCCCUGCGUUAUGGCCACUCUAACCCGCACCACUAAUCGUGGUGGGAGACAGUGUCAGAUGGGCAGUUUGACU